RNAcentral lists this ribosomal RNA (478 nucleotides) under uncultured bacterium. RNAcentral describes it as "bacterial SSU rRNA". It matches the Rfam family "Bacterial small subunit ribosomal RNA", at positions 328 to 793 of the family's 1533-position model. The record is from RNAcentral.
UGACAGUACUCCUACGGGGAGGCAGCAGUGGGGGAAUAUUGCACAAUGGGCGCAAGCCUGAUGCAGCCAUGCCGCGUGUGUGAAGAAGGCCUUCGGGUUGUAAAGCACUUUCAGUCGUGAGGAAGGUAGUGUAGUUAAUAGCUGCAGUAUUUGACGUUAGCGACAGAAGAAGCACCGGCUAACUCCGUGCCAGCAGCCGCGGUAAUACGGAGGGUGCGAGCGUUAAUCGGAAUUACUGGGCGUAAAGCGCAUGCAGGUGGUUUGUUAAGUCAGAUGUGAAAGACCCGGGGCUCAACCUCGGAAUAGCAUUUGAAACUGGCAGACUAGAGUACUGUAGAGGGGGGUAGGAAUUUCAGGUGUAGCGGUGAAAUGCGUAGAGAUCUGAAGGAAUACCGGUGGCGAAGGCGGCCCCCUCGGACAGAUACUGACACUCAGAUGCGAAAGCGUGGGGAGCAAACAGGAUUAGAUACCCUGGUAG